ACAGAGGUAGCGAACGUUGUCCGGAUUUACUGGGCGUAAAGGGCUUGUAGGUGGCCAAAUAAGUCAGUUGUGAAAUCGUUCUGCUCAACAGAACAAUUGCUUCUGAUACUGCUUGGCUUGAGUGCAGGAAGGGAAAAUGGAAUUUCCGGUGUAGCGGUGAAAUGCGUAGAUAUCGGAAAGAACACCUGUGGCGAAGGCGGUUUUCUGGCCUGCAACUGACACUGAGGAGCGAAAGCUAGGGGAGCAAACAG
This 251-nucleotide ribosomal RNA is filed under the name uncultured prokaryote. Its description in RNAcentral is "partial 16S rRNA". It matches the Rfam family "Bacterial small subunit ribosomal RNA", at positions 525 to 775 of the family's 1533-position model. The record is from RNAcentral.